AAAGGAAAGUGGAAGGUAGUGGAAACCUUAUCCUGAUGUGUUUUUUAUCUGGGCUGGAAGGGAAAGUGGAGACGCCAACAUUGCCGAGGCAACUUGGGAUCCCUGUAUAUGUGCUGCUGGGAUGCUUGAGAAUAAUGGCUAGAUGGGCACUGGUAGAAGAGCGCGCGUGCAUGUGAGGAUUGAUGGAGGAGGAGGAGGAGCUUUACAGGGAUGAAGUCAUGAAGAAUUGGGGGGUUGCGCACGUGUCGUUUUGUGAUUCGUGAUUUGCGUCCUUUUCGUUUGUCUUUGUUUCCUUGUGAAAGUCGCUUCAGUAGCCGAGUAUUUAAGGGUUACUUUCUUUCUGGUCAUCACUAUCCUAUCCUAUGGAUCUUUUCUUGCA
Populus nigra (black poplar) is the source of this 379-nucleotide long non-coding RNA. RefSeq lists it as uncharacterized. Lineage: Eukaryota; Viridiplantae; Streptophyta; Magnoliopsida; Malpighiales; Salicaceae. The record is from RefSeq and is a predicted model, not a curated record. The transcript is spliced from 2 exons.